This 349-nucleotide ribosomal RNA is filed under the name uncultured bacterium. RNAcentral describes it as "bacterial SSU rRNA". It matches the Rfam family "Bacterial small subunit ribosomal RNA", at positions 29 to 362 of the family's 1533-position model. The record is from RNAcentral.
AACGAACGCUGGCGGCGGGGUUUAGGCAUGCAAGUCGAGCGAGAAAGGGGCAACCCGAGUAAAGCGGCGUAAGGGUGAGUAAUAGGUAGUUCACGUAUCCUGCAGACGCGGAUAAUUUCCCGAAAGGGAUUGUAAUACGCGAUGAGACCACAGCUGAUCCGUCAGCAGGGGUCAAAAGGUUCGGGAUCCUUCGGGACCGAGCGCUGUUUGAGCGGACGACCUCCGAUUAGCUAGAUGGCGGGGUAACGGCCCACCAUGGCGAUGAUCGGUAGCCGGCCUGAGAGGGGUGUCCGGCCACACUGGGACUGAGACACUGCCCAGACUCCUACGGGAGGCAGCAGUGGGGAAU